AUUGAACGCUGGCGGCAGGCCUAACACAUGCAAGUCGGACGGUAGCACAGAGAGCUUGCUCUUGGGUGACGAGUGGCGGACGGGUGAGUAAUGUCUGGGGAUCUGCCCGAUAGAGGGGGAUAACCACUGGAAACGGUGGCUAAUACCGCAUAACGUCGCAAGACCAAAGAGGGGGACCUUCGGGCCUCUCACUAUCGGAUGAACCCAGAUGGGAUUAGCUAGUAGGCGGGGUAAUGGCCCACCUAGGCGACGAUCCCUAGCUGGUCUGAGAGGAUGACCAGCCACACUGGAACUGAGACACGGUCCAGACUCCUACGGGAGGCAGCAGUGGGGAAUAUUGCACAAUGGGCGCAAGCCUGAUGCAGCCAUGCCGCGUGUAUGAAGAAGGCCUUCGGGUUGUAAAGUACUUUCAGCGGGGAGGAAGGCGACGCGGCUAAUAACCGCGUCGAUUGACGUUACCCGCAGAAGAAGCACCGGCUAACUCCGUGCCAGCCGCCGCCGUAA
RNAcentral lists this ribosomal RNA (504 nucleotides) under uncultured bacterium. Its description in RNAcentral is "partial 16S ribosomal RNA". It matches the Rfam family "Bacterial small subunit ribosomal RNA", at positions 29 to 523 of the family's 1533-position model. The record is from RNAcentral.